AGCACGUUAUGGUGGGCGACUCUAAGGAGACUGCCGGUGGACAAACCGGAGGAAGGUGGGGAGUGACGUCAAGUCAUCAUGGCCCUUACGGCCUGGGCUACACACGUGCUACAAUGGUCGGUACAAAGGGUUGCCAAGCCGCGAGGUGGAGCUAAUCCCAUAAAACCGAUCGUAGUCCGGAUCGCAGUCUGCAACUCGACUGCGUGAAGUCGGAAUCGCUAGUAAUCGUGAAUCAGAAUGUCACGGUGAAUACGUUCCCGGGCCUU
This 266-nucleotide ribosomal RNA is filed under the name uncultured Pseudomonas sp. RNAcentral describes it as "partial 16S ribosomal RNA". It matches the Rfam family "Bacterial small subunit ribosomal RNA", at positions 1120 to 1382 of the family's 1533-position model. Lineage: Bacteria; Pseudomonadati; Pseudomonadota; Gammaproteobacteria; Pseudomonadales; Pseudomonadaceae. The record is from RNAcentral.